AAAUUCUCUUAUUCUCUCUCAUUCUCUCAUUCUCUCUCUCUCUCUCUCUCCCUAAGAUCCUUCGCCGUUCGUCGUCCGUUUCCAAAAACGGAGGGUACUGCGUGGAUCAGAAGAGGAAACUCUACACUUUUAGCAGAUCGGAUCGUCGUUUCAGAGAGUUUCGGGCUUUCCCAAGAAUCGAGGUCCGUCCGUGUGUCAGUCCUAGUAGAUAAAGGGACUGGGGAGGUUAUUUUGGUUAACUUACGUAAACAUCUAAAUUUUGUACUAAACUUGAUGAAAGUCCUUUUUGGAGGGUUGUAAUAUGACGAUUACUCUACGUCCGAAUGUAUGUAAAUUAUGGAUGCAUUAGUGAACUCUGGUAUAAGGCUAGUAGUAAUCCCAAUGGAUGUUUAUGUUUUUCCGCAACAUUUACAUCAUGAUUAUGUAUGAUUUACACCCGUAUGUCCCUAUUUAGGGCGGGUUGUUUCCAUAUCUUGAACAGGUAUAGGUAUUUGAUGUAUGUGAGUGACACCUAAGUCCAUGUAAAGGGUCAGGUCGUUACAUAAGGAAUGGAAGGAUCUUCAAUGGCAAUAUAAAUUUUGUGCAUU
This is a long non-coding RNA of Malania oleifera, 587 nucleotides long. RefSeq lists it as uncharacterized. Lineage: Eukaryota; Viridiplantae; Streptophyta; Magnoliopsida; Santalales; Ximeniaceae. The record is from RefSeq and is a predicted model, not a curated record. The transcript has 2 exons.